RNAcentral lists this ribosomal RNA (498 nucleotides) under uncultured bacterium. Its description in RNAcentral is "bacterial SSU rRNA". It matches the Rfam family "Bacterial small subunit ribosomal RNA", at positions 28 to 521 of the family's 1533-position model. The record is from RNAcentral.
GACGAACGCUGGCGGCGUGCUUAACACAUGCAAGUCGAACGGAAAGGCCCUUUCGGGGGUACUCGAGUGGCGAACGGGUGAGUAACACGUGGGUGAUCUGCCCUGCACUUCGGGAUAAGCUUGGGAAACUGGGUCUAAUACCGGAUAGGACUACGGACUGCAUGGUCUGUGGUGGAAAGCUUUUGCGGUGUGGGAUGGGCCCGCGGCCUAUCAGCUUGUUGGUGGGGUGAUGGCCUACCAAGGCGACGACGGGUAGCCGGCCUGAGAGGGUGUCCGGCCACACUGGGACUGAGAUACGGCCCAGACUCCUACGGGAGGCAGCAGUGGGGAAUAUCGGACAAUGGGCGCAAGCCUGAUCCAGCAACGCCGCGUGGAGGAUGAAGGUCUUCGGAUCGUAAACUCCUGUCAGGCGGGACGAAGGGGCGUCGGCAAAUAGUCGAUGCCUUUGACGGUACCGCCAGAGGAAGCCCCGGCUAACUCCGUGCCAGCAGCCGCAGU